Oncorhynchus tshawytscha (Chinook salmon) is the source of this 432-nucleotide long non-coding RNA. Lineage: Eukaryota; Metazoa; Chordata; Actinopteri; Salmoniformes; Salmonidae. The record is from Ensembl.
AACUGGCCUAUCUGGUUAAAUAAAGGUGUUCUCAACUAGCCUACCUGGUUAAAUAAAGGUGUUCUCAACUAGCCUACCUGGUUAAAUAAAGGUGUUCUCAACUAGCCUACCUGGUUAAAUAAAGGUGUUCUCAACUAGCCCACCUGGUUAAAUAAAGGUGUUCUCAACUAGCCUACCUGGUUAAAUAAAGGUGUUCUCAACUAGCCUACCUGGUUUAAUAAAGGUGUUCUCAACUAGCCUACCUGGUUAAAUAAAGGUGUUCUCAACUAGCCUACCUGGUUAAAUAAAGGUGUUCUCAACUAGCCUACCUGGUUAAAUAAAGGUGUUCUCAACUGGCCUACCUGGUUAAAUAAAGGUGUUCUCAACUAGCCUACCUGGUUAAAUAAAGGUGUUCUCAACUGGCCUACCUGGUUAAAUAAAGGUGUUCUCAAC